RNAcentral lists this non-coding RNA (24 nucleotides) under Arabidopsis thaliana (thale cress). Lineage: Eukaryota; Viridiplantae; Streptophyta; Magnoliopsida; Brassicales; Brassicaceae. The record is from RNAcentral.
CCAUCGAUCUAAAGUCACGCAUGC